GACGGAGGAUGCAAGCGUUAUCCGGAAUUAUUGGGCGUAAAGCGUCCGCAGGUGGUUAGUCAAGUCUGUCGUUAAAGCUCGGGGCUUAACUCCGAAAAGGCGGUGGAAACUGGCUGACUAGAGUACGGCAGGGGUAGAGGGAAUUCUCAGUGUAGCGGUGAAAUGCGUAGAUAUUGGGAAGAACACCAGUGGCGAAAGCGCUCUACUGGACCUGUACUGACACUCAGGGACGAAAGCUAGGGGAGCAAAAGGG
RNAcentral lists this ribosomal RNA (253 nucleotides) under uncultured bacterium. RNAcentral describes it as "partial 16S ribosomal RNA". It matches the Rfam family "Bacterial small subunit ribosomal RNA", at positions 524 to 776 of the family's 1533-position model. The record is from RNAcentral.